RNAcentral lists this ribosomal RNA (590 nucleotides) under Escherichia coli. RNAcentral's name for it is "partial 23S ribosomal RNA". It matches the Rfam family "Bacterial large subunit ribosomal RNA", at positions 711 to 1298 of the family's 2925-position model. The record is from RNAcentral. Lineage: Bacteria; Pseudomonadati; Pseudomonadota; Gammaproteobacteria; Enterobacterales; Enterobacteriaceae.
AGACCCGAAACCCGGUGAUCUAGCCAUGGGCAGGUUGAAGGUUGGGUAACACUAACUGGAGGACCGAACCGACUAAUGUUGAAAAAUUAGCGGAUGACUUGUGGCUGGGGGUGAAAGGCCAAUCAAACCGGGAGAUAGCUGGUUCUCCCCGAAAGCUAUUUAGGUAGCGCCUCGUGAAUUCAUCUCCGGGGGUAGAGCACUGUUUCGGCAAGGGGGUCAUCCCGACUUACCAACCCGAUGCAAACUGCGAAUACCGGAGAAUGUUAUCACGGGAGACACACGGCGGGUGCUAACGUCCGUCGUGAAGAGGGAAACAACCCAGACCGCCAGCUAAGGUCCCAAAGUCAUGGUUAAGUGGGAAACGAUGUGGGAAGGCCCAGACAGCCAGGAUGUUGGCUUAGAAGCAGCCAUCAUUUAAAGAAAGCGUAAUAGCUCACUGGUCGAGUCGGCCUGCGCGGAAGAUGUAACGGGGCUAAACCAUGCACCGAAGCUGCGGCAGCGACACUGUGUGUUGUUGGGUAGGGGAGCGUUCUGUAAGCCUGUGAAGGUGUGCUGUGAGGCAUGCUGGAGGUAUCAGAAGUGCGAAUGCU